Acanthochromis polyacanthus (spiny chromis) is the source of this 1283-nucleotide long non-coding RNA. RefSeq lists it as uncharacterized. The transcript has 2 exons. The record is from RefSeq and is a predicted model, not a curated record. Lineage: Eukaryota; Metazoa; Chordata; Actinopteri; Pomacentridae.
GACAAAAGGAAAACAAAAAUGGCAGCCCUGUCUUAUUUUUAUAAGCACUGGACGCCAUAUUCUGCAGAUCCGAAUAUUAUAAGCAGAUAAACCCGCGGGUUUGAAUAGCCCGGCUCGAGGAGAGGAGAGAAAAAAAAGCCCUGACACUUCCUACAACAAUCAUCAUGCCUUCGCUUGAACGCUCUGCAGCUGUUGAGCCAUAAAUCCAGACGUCGAUCGGCCACACUGACGCGUUAUGGAAGCUUUUAGCUUCCACGGUUCCCGAAAAAAACAAGAAGCGAUUCUGUUUUUUUAAAAAUAUAAUUUACGCGCCGCAAACGCUGUUGUUUUUAAUUGCAACUUUUGGAAACGGAGCGACGCGGAGCAGCAGCGAGAGAGAGGAAAGAGAAAAGAGAAUAAGCAUCGAGAGGAGAACAUACCUGAGCCAGCGGCAGCAGAGAUGGUUUUUAAUUUAUUGUUAUUAUGUUAUAUAUAUAAAGGAUUAGACUCUUCUUUCUGCUCGCUCUCAGUCGGACUUCAAACCUUCCGGGUCGCCUGCUGUUCACUUCUGGGUGCUGCAGGCGAAGCGAUUGUUCGGUGUGAAAACGCAGCGCUGGAACCGGUUUUUUUAACCCAUUUUCUGUCCCUGUAAUUUGGCGAUUUUUUUUUCUUUUUUCGUGCAGAUGUUUUUUUCUCUCUCGCAAAUUCCGUGUGCAUGUGUAGCUGGUGUUUAACAAGGCAUUCCUGGUGUGGUAGUGAUAUAUUAUUGCAUGCGUAAACCUCACUUUCUCUUAAAAAACAACAAACAAAACACUGAUGAUAUUCUGAAAUAAGCAUUUAAAAAUAGAAAACAUGCAUUUUUUUAGCCACCACAGAGGCAGAGGUGCGUAAUUGUGAUGGUGGGGAUUUGUUGCAUGCAGCUGUCUUCUUUUUUUUCUCUCUUUUUUUUCCAGUAUGGUGUGUGUACAUCCCAGACCUCUGGCAUGUACAGUAAAUAUGAAGUGUAAUCCUCUCAGCAGCAGCACGACAGGCUGCUAAUAUGCAGAGUGCUGAGCUCAGCAGGCAGCAGGAGGUGGCACUGCUGCCACAGCUGAGAGUCUGCUGGAUUUAACUCACAUGGAAACCUAUGGGAGGCUGAAUGAAGCUUUUCGUGCAUUCAUUUUAAUUACUAGCAGUAUUUCCUGAAAUAUAUUCUCUCAACUGGCCCUGCUUUGUUGUAAUAAUUGCUACUUAUGUUGGUUUAUUGUCCAACUCAAUCCUCUGUGAUGUUUUUACAAAUAAAAUGUUUCAGCUUCAACAUUUUA